RNAcentral lists this ribosomal RNA (468 nucleotides) under uncultured bacterium. Its description in RNAcentral is "partial 16S ribosomal RNA". It matches the Rfam family "Bacterial small subunit ribosomal RNA", at positions 28 to 507 of the family's 1533-position model. The record is from RNAcentral.
GACGAACGCUGGCGGCGUGCUUAACACAUGCAAGUCGAACGGAAAGGCCCUGCUUUUGCGGGGUGCUCGAGUGGCGAACGGGUGAGUAACACGUGAGUAACCUGCCCUUGACUUUGGGAUAACUUCAGGAAACUGGGGCUAAUACCGGAUAGGAGCUCCUGCUGCAUGGUGGGGGUUGGAAAGUUUCGGCGGUUGGGGAUGGACUCGCGGCUUAUCAGCUUGUUAGUGGGGUAGUGGCUUACCAAGGCUUUGACGGGUAGCCGGCCUGAGAGGGUGACCGGCCACAUUGGGACUGAGAUACGGCCCAGACUCCUACGGGAGGCAGCAGUGGGGAAUAUUGCACAAUGGGCGGAAGCCUGAUGCAGCAACGCCGCGUGCGGGAUGACGGCCUUCGGGUUGUAAACCGCUUUCGCCUGUGACGAAGCGUGAGUGACGGUAAUGGGUAAAGAAGCACCGGCUAACUACGUG